UAGUUCCGGUUGGGUAGUACCCAAUCCCCGCCCCGCUGCUGCUUUGAAGGGUUUCGUAAAUUCUAGGGUUUCAGAGAGACGGAGAGAGACGGGGAGGACGCAUUGAGGUCCAGACACUCGCCGGAGGAAAGAUUACAGCUAAAAGCUGCAAUCGGAUUACAGUCUGCUAUCUGUUUACAAGCAAAUACACCCACCCAAACGCCCCAUGUAAUUGGAUUACCUGUAAUCGGAUUACCAUUUAAUGAUUUUACAGGCAUCCAAACGACCCCUAAUUGAAGAGGGAGAGAGAGAGUUGCUUCCCACUAAUCCAACCCACAGGCGUCCAAACGACCCCUUGGAGAGAGAGAGAGAGAUGGCGUCAUCGAAAGACGCCGACCCCUCGCUAGGGUUCCUGACCAGGAAGGACACGGAGGUGAAGCUCCCGCGCCCAACGCGUGUCAAGAACAAGACCCCAGCGCCUAUCCAGAUCACCGCAGAACAAAUUCUGCGUGAGGCCCGUGAGCGCCAGGAGUCGGAGAUCCGCCCCCCCAAGCAGAAGAUCACUGAUCCCACAGAGCUUGAUGACUACCGCCUCCGCAAGCGCAAGGAGUUUGAGGACCUCAUCCGCCGUGUCCGGUGGAAUACCUCCGUCUGGAUCAAGUAUGCCCAAUGGGAGGAGUCUCAGAAGGACUUUGCCCGUGCCCGCUCCAUCUGGGAGCGUGCCCUCGAAGUCGACUAUCGCAAUCACACCCUCUGGCUCAAGUACGCUGAGGUUGAGAUGAAGAACCGCUUCAUCAACCACGCCCGCAAUGUCUGGGACCGUGCCGUCACCCUCCUCCCCCGCGUCGACCAGCUCUGGUACAAGUACAUACACAUGGAGGAGAUCCUCGGCAAUGUUGCUGGCGCCCGGCAAGUCUUCGAGCGCUGGAUGGCGUGGAUGCCCGACCAGCAGGGGUGGCUCUCCUACAUAAAGUUCGAGCUCCGGUACAAUGAGGUUGAGCGUGCCCGCUCUGUGUUCGAGCGGUUUGUCCAGUGCCACCCUAAGGUUGUUGCCUGGGUCCGGUAUGCCAAGUUUGAAAUGAAGAACGGGGAGGUCGGCCGGGCAAGGGCCGUUUAUGAGCGUGCUGUUGAGCAGCUGGCAGACGACGAGGAGGCUGAGCAGCUCUUCGUUGCGUUUGCCGAGUUCGAGGAGCGGUGCAAGGAGACAGAGCGUGCCCGCUGCAUCUACAAGUAUGCACUCGAUCACAUACCAAAAGGGCGGGCAGAGGAUCUGUAUAGGAAGUUUGUCGCAUUCGAAAAGCAGUACGGGGACCGGGAAGGGAUUGAGGAUGCAAUCGUGGGGAAGAGAAGGUUCCAAUAUGAAGAAGAGGUGAGGAAGAAUCCUCUCAAUUAUGAUUCAUGGUUUGAUUAUAUACGCUUGGAAGAGAGUGUUGGGAACAAAGACAGGAUUAGAGAAGUUUAUGAGAGGGCCAUUGCGAAUGUCCCGCCUGCUGAGGAGAAGCGGUACUGGCAGCGAUACAUCUAUUUGUGGAUUAAUUAUGCCUUGCAUGAAGAGCUUGAUGCUGAUGACAUGGAGCGGACAAGAGAAGUUUACAGGGAAUGUCUUAAGUUGAUUCCACACAAGAAGUUUUCAUUUGCAAAGAUUUGGCUUUUGGCUGCACAAUUUGAAAUACGGCAAAAGAACCUUAAGGGUGCACGGAUGAUCUUGGGCAACGCAAUUGGGAUGGCUCCAAAAGAUAAGAUAUUCAAGAAAUACAUUGAGAUAGAGUUACAACUUGGGAACAUCGACCGUUGCAGAACUCUAUAUGAAAAGUAUCUAGCGUGGGCUCCAGCAAACUGCUAUGCUUGGAGCAAAUUUGCUGAACUGGAGAGAUCAUUGAGCGAGACCGAGCGCGCCAGAGCAAUAUUUGAGCUUGCUAUAGCCCAACCUGCAUUGGAUAUGCCAGAGGUGCUAUGGAAGGCAUACAUAGAUUUUGAGAUAUCAGAGGGUGAAUUUGAAAGAACCAGGCAACUUUAUGAGAGACUGCUAGACCGCACCAAGCACUUGAAGGUUUGGAUCAGUUAUGCGAAGUUUGAGGCUUCUGCAGAAGAGGAAGGCAGGGAUCCUGGGGUGCAAGAAGAUGUCGAUCAGGAUUCUCUUCAUGAACAGAAAAUUCAGCAGCUCCAACGUUCUCGAGGUGUUUUUGAGAGGGCUUUUGACUACUUCAGAACAGCUGCGCCAGAACUAAAAGAAGAAAGAGCUAUGCUUUUGGAGGAGUGGCUAAAUAUGGAGAGUAGUUUUGGCAGCAUCGGAGAUGUCAGUGUAGUUCAAAAGAAAUUACCGAGGAAAGUAAAACGGAAGAGGGCUAUUGCAUCUGAGGAUGGCGCCCCUUCUGGGUACGAGGAAUAUUACGACUACAUAUUUCCUGAUGAAGCAGCAGGGGCUCCGACUCUUAAAAUUUUGGAAGCAGCUUACAAGUGGAAGAAGCAUAAAGCUGGUUCAGAUGAGGAUUGAUUGAAAAAUUCCCAUUGUUUCUGCCAAUGCACAUGGUACAUCAUUCCUCCUGAACCCAGAUGGAUAGAUGCAGAAGUAAUAUGUGGAUCUAUGGAUUUUGCACCUACCCUCUUUAUGAGUUUGAAAGAGAACCUGGGCAAACAAAGAAGGCAACCUAUGUUUAAGAUGAGCUGAAAACAGAGAACGUUUGGAUGAAUUCUGGCUGUCAUGAACAAUGAAAACAUCAUAGAUCAGGACUGGAAUCUAAGAAAAUGAUACGAGAACAGCAGCGGAACAACUUGGAUGGAGGAGGAGGGAAAGAGACAGCGCUAGACACCAGGAUCGCAAUGCUCCCAGCCUGGCACAGCAGAAGUUUCUCUUUAGCUGAAGACAUGCGGAACAGCAUUCAAAAGCAGAGAUCCACAACAAGAAAGGGACAUCCCUUUUCUUUCUCAUCAUCCAUACUUGUACAUUAUGUUUUAACUAGAUAUGGAACUUUCAUAUCUGAGUUUUCCUUGUGAUGGCCUUGUUUUUGUUUAUACCUUCUUACUGGGAAUUGCUUAGAAAUUGAACACGUGGAAUAUGAGCAAAUCCAAAUUAAACUGUCCAAAUUAUGGUUUCAGUUUAAAUGUAUCAUGGAUUAAAACAUUAAGACGAUUUAAUGA
Molecule: RNA transcript, 3117 nt
Organism: Magnolia sinica
Lineage: Eukaryota; Viridiplantae; Streptophyta; Magnoliopsida; Magnoliales; Magnoliaceae
Exons: 9
Source: RefSeq, a predicted model, not a curated record